RNAcentral lists this long non-coding RNA (467 nucleotides) under Lepisosteus oculatus (spotted gar). Its description in RNAcentral is "lncRNA (ENSLOCG00000022607.1)". The record is from RNAcentral. Lineage: Eukaryota; Metazoa; Chordata; Actinopteri; Semionotiformes; Lepisosteidae.
AAACUGUAAGAGGGGGAUGGGUGUAGAAACAGCUGUUCUGGAGCUCCAGGGAAGGCUGAUGACAGCAGGAAGGAAAGAGCACACAGCACGGCAGGAGCAGAGAGUCAGUUUCCAUGAUGAAUUUGAGGACGAAGAGCAACUUUUUUGGCAAGAAGUUCACUGUCCUGGUAAACACGAUAAAGGGGGUGCAACAUAUGUGCUGAAGUCAUUUAAGGGCAGAGGAAUCAGCAGAGGACCUCUGAAAACCUGGAAGGACAGGACAGGUUGUGGUGCUGCACAAACCUAGAGAUGAAACAGGGAAGAAUCAGAAUUAGGAGGCCUCAUGAGAAGAUCUGGCUCUGACUGUCCCGAGGACACUAGAUUCACCAGGAGCACCCUGUCAGCGUGGCUCCACCAUGGAGGGUAACAACCCAAACAUGUAACACACCUGGGUCCUCUGGCUACAGAUAAGCAUAGAAUAAAAGUAG